Molecule: ribosomal RNA, 410 nt
Filed under: Acidobacteriota bacterium
Lineage: Bacteria; Pseudomonadati; Acidobacteriota
Description: Acidobacteria bacterium partial 16S ribosomal RNA
Rfam family: Bacterial small subunit ribosomal RNA
Source: RNAcentral
UCGAGAAUCAUUCACAAUGGGGGAAACCCUGAUGGUGCGACGCCGCGUGGGGGAAUGAAGGUCUUCGGAUUGUAAACCCCUGUCAUGUGGGAGCAAAUUAAAAAGAUAGUACCACAAGAGGAAGAGACGGCUAACUCUGUGCCAGCAGCCGCGGUAAUACAGAGGUCUCAAGCGUUGUUCGGAAUCACUGGGCGUAAAGCGUGCGUAGGCGGUUUCGUAAGUCGUGUGUGAAAGGCGGGGGCUCAACCCCCGGACUGCACAUGAUACUGCGAGACUAGAGUAAUGGAGGGGGAACCGGAAUUCUCGGUGUAGCAGUGAAAUGCGUAGAUAUCGAGAGAAACACUCGUGGCGAAGGCGGGUUCCUGGACAUUAACUGACGCUGAGGCACGAAGGCCAGGGGAGCGAAAGGG